AACGAACGCUGGCGGCAGGCCUAACACAUGCAAGUCGAACGAGAUCUUCGGAUCUAGUGGCGGACGGGUGAGUAACGCGUGGGAACGUGCCCUUCUCUACGGAAUAGUCCUGGGAAACUGGGUUUAAUACCGUAUACGCCCUUCGGGGUAAAGGAAUUUACGGGUAAGGGAGUCGGCCCGCGUUGGAUUAGGUAGUUGGUGGGGUAAGUGGCCUACCAAGCCGACGAUCCAUAGCUGGUUUGUAGAGGAUGAUCAGCCACACUGGGACUGAGACACGGCCCACGACUCCUACGGGAGGGCAGCAGUGGGGAAGUCUUAGACAAUGGGGGCGAACCCCUCGAUCUAGCCAUGCCGCGUGAGUGACGAAGGCCCUAGGGUCGUAAAGCUCUUUCGCCAGGGAUGAUAAUGACAGUACCUGG
Molecule: ribosomal RNA, 419 nt
Filed under: uncultured bacterium
Lineage: Bacteria
Description: bacterial SSU rRNA
Rfam family: Bacterial small subunit ribosomal RNA
Source: RNAcentral